This is a long non-coding RNA of Culex pipiens pallens (northern house mosquito), 689 nucleotides long. RefSeq lists it as uncharacterized. The transcript has 2 exons. The record is from RefSeq and is a predicted model, not a curated record. Lineage: Eukaryota; Metazoa; Arthropoda; Insecta; Diptera; Culicidae.
GGAAUGAUUGGAAUGAUGAGAAUGAUUUGUUCUAUAAUAUGAGUUUUCCAGAUAAGCGUGUAAACGUCAAAACAUUCGACAACAAAAACAGAAGCACUUUUGCGUGAUUGGUUCUCUCUGAUUCUUUUCGGCGAUUUAGACACAAAGAAAACCUACGGAGUGGCCAUCGUUUGUCAGUUCCAGCACGCAUUUAUUAGCGAGGGGCGGAUUUGCCUACGAGAGACUGCUGUCAACAAUCAUGGCCCACCUUACCGCACUCGCUACAGAUGAUAAAGAAGAGCCAACAACAACAUCACCGCCGUUAACGUCAACCCGGAUUCGACGCGUUACCCCAAACUGAGCAAUCAAAACGGUAUCCGAACUGGUAUUGAUCUUCGUUGCGAUUUUAAUUUUUCAACACUUCCCUGUCAUUCAUUGUCCCACCUGUCCCCAUUCAUCCCACAUGUAUCUAUUCACUUGCAGUUAUCUGUUUAAAAUCCCAAUCAAAUGCAUAGAACAGCAGAACGGCUCCCGACUACGCUCGCUGAAUAAAUCCCAAUGACGAAGACCACCAGGUCAGUUCGUCCGUACGAAAAAAUUUGCCUUCCAGGACAAAGUGCAAAAUAAUGGCGAUUCUUUUCUUGAGAAGGUAGUUUAUUUCUUUUAAUAUAAAUAUAAAACUAACCUCUUUCGAGGGUUCCAACGUUUAA